AGAGUUUGAUCCUGGCUCAGGACGAACGCUGGCGGCGUGCUUAACACAUGCAAGUCGAACGGUGAAGGUGGGAGCUUGCUCCUACCGGAUCAGUGGCGAACGGGUGAGUAACACGUGAGUAACCUGCCCCAGACUCUGGAAUAACCCCGGGAAACCGGAGCUAAUACCGGAUACGAGACGAAGCUGCAUGGCUAUCGUCUGGAAAGUUUUUCGGUCUGGGAUGGACUCGCGGCCUAUCAGCUUGUUGGUGAGGUAACGGCUCACCAAGGCGACGACGGGUAGCCGGCCUGAGAGGGCGACCGGCCACACUGGGACUGAGACACGGCCCAGACUCCUACGGGAGGCAGCAGUGGGGAAUAUUGCACAAUGGGCGAAAGCCUGAUGCAGCGACGCCGCGUGAGGGAUGACGGCCUUCGGGUUGUAAACCUCUUUCAGCAGGGAAGAAGCGAAAGUGACGGUACCUGCAGAAGGAGCACCGGCUAACUACGUGCCAGCAGCCGCGGUAAUAC
Molecule: ribosomal RNA, 509 nt
Filed under: uncultured bacterium
Lineage: Bacteria
Description: bacterial SSU rRNA
Rfam family: Bacterial small subunit ribosomal RNA
Source: RNAcentral